AAGUCGUAACAAGGUUUCCGUAGGUGAACCUGCGGAAGGAUCAUUAGUAGAGACAGUGGGGCAAAAGCCCCCGAUGCUCAACCCCCUGCGUACUGUACCUGGACCAUACCGACAGGUUUAAAUUCUGGCGCGCGUCUGAAAAAACGGCGCAUUUGAAAAGCGAAAAAACUUUCAACAACGGAUCUCUUGGUUCCGGCAUCGAUGAAGAACGCAGCAAAAUGCGAUAAGUAGUGUGAAUUGCAGAAUUCAGUGAACCAUCGAGUCUUUGAACGCACAUUGCGCCCCCCGGUAGCCCGGGGGCAUGCCUGGCCGAGCGUCAUGCAGAUACCCUCAAGCCCUCGCUUGGUGUUGGGUCGGCCGUCCGCGCAUAUAGCGGAUGUCCCCAAAAUCUGCCUGGCGGUGGCGUCGGACGUCCAGGUGCGCAAAUCCGACGAUAUGCCCUGGAGCGUCCGGUUGCCAUCUACCCCAGCGAAACCCUUUGCGCCCGAGCGCGCCAACGGUUUGACCUCGGUUCAAGCAGGAAUACCCGCUGAACUUAA
This 539-nucleotide ribosomal RNA is filed under the name uncultured fungus. Its description in RNAcentral is "eukaryotic LSU rRNA". The stretch from base 167 to 319 matches the Rfam family "5.8S ribosomal RNA". Lineage: Eukaryota; Fungi. The record is from RNAcentral.